UUUAGUGGAAGCGUCUGGAAAGGCGCGCGAUACAGGGUGACAGCCCCGUACACAAAAAUGCACAUGCUGUGAGCUCGAUGAGUAGGGCGGGACACGUGGUAUCCUGUCUGAAUAUGGGGGGACCAUCCUCCAAGGCUAAAUACUCCUGACUGACCGAUAGUGAACCAGUACCGUGAGGGAAAGGCGAAAAGAACCCCGGCGAGGGGAGUGAAAAAGAACCUGAAACCGUGUACGUACAAGCAGUGGGAGCCUCUUUUAUGGGGUGACUGCGUACCUUUUGUAUAAUGGGUCAGCGACUUAUAUUCUGUAGCAAGGUUAACCGAAUAGGGGAGCCGAAGGGAAACCGAGUCUUAACUGGGCGUUAAGUUGCAGGGUAUAGACCCGAAACCCGGUGAUCUAGCCAUGGGCAGGUUGAAGGUUGGGUAACACUAACUGGAGGACCGAACCGACUAAUGUUGAAAAAUUAGCGGAUGACUUGUGGCUGGGGGUGAAAGGCCAAUCAAACCGGGAGAUAGCUGGUUCUCCCCGAAAGCUAUUUAGGUAGCGCCUCGUGAAUUCAUCUCCGGGGGUAGAGCACUGUUUCGGCAAGGGGGUCAACCCGAUGCAAACUGCGAAUACCGGAGAAUGUUAUCACGGGAGACACACGGCGGGUGCUAACGUCCGUCGUGAAGAGGGAAACAACCCAGACCGCCAGCUAAGGUCCCAAAGUCAUGGUUAAGUGGGAAACGAUGUGGGAAGGCCCAGACAGCCAGGAUGUUGGCUUAGAAGCAGCCAUCAUUUAAAGAAAGCGUAAUAGCUCACUGGUCGAGUCGGCCUGCGCGGAAGAUGUAACGGGGCUAAACCAUGCACCGAAGCUGCGGCAGCGACGCUUAUGCGUUGUUGGGUAGGGGAGCGUUCUGUAAGCCUGUGAAGGUGUGCUGUGAGGCAUGCUGGAGGUAUCAGAAGUGCGAAUGCUGACAUAAGUAACGAUAAAGCGGGUGAAAAGCCCGCUCGCCGGAAGACCAAGGGUUCCUGUCCAACGUUAAUCGGGGCAGGGUGAGUCGACCCCUAAGGCGAGGCCGAAAGGCGUAGUCGAUGGGAAACAGGUUAAUAUUCCUGUACUUGGUGUUACUGCGAAGGGGGGACGGAGAAGGCUAUGUUGGCCGGGCGACGGUUGUCCCGGUUUAAGCGUGUAGGCUGGUUUUCCAGGCAAAUCCGGAAAAUCAAGGCUGAGGCGUGAUGACGAGGCACUACGGUGCUGAAGCAACAAAUGCCCUGCUUCCAGGAAAAGCCUCUAAGCAUCAGGUAACAUCAAAUCGUACCCCAAACCGACACAGGUGGUCAGGUAGAGAAUACCAAGGCGCUUGAGAGAACUCGGGUGAAGGAACUAGGCAAAAUGGUGCCGUAACUUCGGGAGAAGGCACGCUGAUAUGUAGGUGAAGUCCCUUGCGGAUGGAGCUGAAAUCAGUCGAAGAUACCAGCUGGCUGCAACUGUUUAUUAAAAACACAGCACUGUGCAAACACGAAAGUGGACGUAUACGGUGUGACGCCUGCCCGGUGCCGGAAGGUUAAUUGAUGGGGUCAGCGCAAGCGAAGCUCUUGAUCGAAGCCCCGGUAAACGGCGGCCGUAACUAUAACGGUCCUAAGGUAGCGAAAUUCCUUGUCGGGUAAGUUCCGACCUGCACGAAUGGCGUAAUGAUGGCCAGGCUGUCUCCACCCGAGACUCAGUGAAAUUGAACUCGCUGUGAAGAUGCAGUGUACCCGCGGCAAGACGGAAAGACCCCGUGAACCUUUACUAUAGCUUGACACUGAACAUUGAGCCUUGAUGNNNNNNGCUUGACUGCGAGCGUGACGGCGCGAGCAGGUGCGAAAGCAGGUCAUAGUGAUCCGGUGGUUCUGAAUGGAAGGGCCAUCGCUCAACGGAUAAAAGGUACUCCGGGGAUAACAGGCUGAUACCGCCCAAGAGUUCAUAUCGACGGCGGUGUUUGGCACCUCGAUGUCGGCUCAUCACAUCCUGGGGCUGAAGUAGGUCCCAAGGGUAUGGCUGUUCGCCAUUUAAAGUGGUACGCGAGCUGGGUUUAGAACGUCGUGAGACAGUUCGGUCCCUAUCUGCCGUGGGCGCUGGAGAACUGNNCCGAGAUGAGUUCUCCCUGACUCCUUGAGAGUCCUGAAGGAACGUUGAAGACGACGACGUUGAUAGGCCGGGUGUGUAAGCGCAGCGAUGCGUUGAGCUAACCGGUACUAAUGAACCGUGAGGCUUAACCUUACAACGCCGAAG
RNAcentral lists this ribosomal RNA (2257 nucleotides) under Escherichia coli. Its description in RNAcentral is "partial 23S ribosomal RNA". It matches the Rfam family "Bacterial large subunit ribosomal RNA", at positions 328 to 2925 of the family's 2925-position model. Lineage: Bacteria; Pseudomonadati; Pseudomonadota; Gammaproteobacteria; Enterobacterales; Enterobacteriaceae. The record is from RNAcentral.